AUACGAAAGGUGCAAGCGUUGUUCGGAUUUACUGGGCGUAAAGAGAGUGUAGGUGGUUUAUUAAGUCGGAUGUGAAAUCCCGGGGCUCAACCUCGGAACUGCAUUCGAUACUGAUAGGCUAGAGUUUGGGAGGGGUAAGCGGAAUUCCGUGUGUAGCAGUGAAAUGCGUAGAUAUACGGAGGAACACCUGAGGCGAAGGCGGCUUACUGGACCAAUACUGACACUGAGGCUCGAAAGCGUGGGUAGCAAACAGGAUUAGAAACCCCUGUAGUCC
RNAcentral lists this ribosomal RNA (274 nucleotides) under uncultured bacterium. RNAcentral's name for it is "partial 16S ribosomal RNA". It matches the Rfam family "Bacterial small subunit ribosomal RNA", at positions 523 to 796 of the family's 1533-position model. The record is from RNAcentral.